CGAAUUGUAGUUUAGAGAAGCGUUUUCUGGGACGGCCUGGGUGUAGGUCCUUUGGAACGAGGCAUCAUAGAGGGUGAGAAUCCCGUGCCGCCUAGGUUCCGUUCCUUUGUGAUACGCUUUCUACGAGUCGGGUUGUUUGGGAUUGCAGCCCAAAAUGGGUGGUAAAUACCAUCUAAAGCUAAAUAUUGGCGAGAGACCGAUAGCGAACAAGUACCGUGAGGGAAAGAUGAAAAGAACUUUGAAAAGAGAGUUAAACAGUACGUGAAAUUGCCAAAAGGGAAGCGCUUGGAACCAGUGUUGCAAUCCGUAAUCAGCCGCUCUUCGAGUGGUGCACUUGCGGUGAGCAGGUCAGCAUCAGUUUAGCCUGGGCUAAAAAGCUUGUGACGGCCCUCCGGGGUCAGCGCUUGUUAUGGCCUGGGUUAGACUGAGGUCCGCUAACAGGAUGCUGACAAAAUGGUUUCAAACGACCCGUCUUGAAACACGGACCAAGGAGUCUAACAAAUACGCGAGUAUUCGGGUG
Molecule: ribosomal RNA, 520 nt
Filed under: Endochytrium sp. JEL 027
Lineage: Eukaryota; Fungi; Chytridiomycota; Chytridiomycetes; Cladochytriales; Endochytriaceae
Description: eukaryotic LSU rRNA
Rfam family: Eukaryotic large subunit ribosomal RNA
Source: RNAcentral